CUGAAAGAUAAUCGUCAAAAGAUUUUCACAUUUUCAUUUUAUACUACCGCAUAUUCUCAUCUUUUGUUUCAGAAUUUCUCAUAAAUGCACAAACAUCCGUAUUCUCGUAAUAAAUAUUACUAAUAAAAAUAAUUUGCAGCAUGCGUACGUCUGUUCCAUUGCAACCAUCACGACCAGGUAGACCAGGAGCUCCGGGCGGGCCUUGUACUCCAGGAACACCACUUAUACCCGAGAAUCCAGGAAAUCCUUUUUGACCUUUGGGUCCCUGUGGCCCCAUUAGACCUGGCGGUCCCUGUACACGCCGACCCGGUACAGUUUCGUUGUGGCUUGUAUCCUGGAACUGGCACAACCGUGUAACUGCUCGGAUAAUUUUCCGAGUCUCCGGCCGCGCCAUAUCCACCACGUUGCCCUGAAGAGUAUCCGCGUUGUCCGUAAGGAUCUCCGCGUCCAUAAUCGUCUCUGGAUCCAUAAUUUCUAUCGUAGCCAUCGCCAGAAGAAUCUCUGGACCUUUGUUCUCCACCGGCCUCUCCUCUUCCGUAAGGGUCUUCGUAACCUCCAGAUCUUCCGUAAGGAUCGCCAGCUUCUUGAUUGUAAGGAUCCAACGGGGUUUGAUCUUGACCUUGGUUGUAAGAUUCUUGAUCAAAGCCUCCUGAGAGGAGAAGAUUACUCGCGUUAAACGAAUCGGAUAGACGAUCUAUGAGAUGGAAAGAUGGGAAUGAAAUCGUACGAAUUGGGACGCUGGUUUUCGUGUUUAACGCCAUGACAACAAGUAUCAUCUUAAAAAUAAACUAUAAUCGUUACAGAGAAGGUAUAUGCAAAUUUAUAUUUUUCAAAUGUAGGCAGAAAUGUUAUUUCGUAGAAUGAAAUCCCUAGAUAAAUACGACGAUAU
This 889-nucleotide unclassified non-coding RNA is filed under the name Bombus terrestris (buff-tailed bumblebee). RNAcentral describes it as "misc RNA ENSBTSG00005031673.1". Lineage: Eukaryota; Metazoa; Arthropoda; Insecta; Hymenoptera; Apidae. The record is from RNAcentral.